ACCUGGUCUUUUCAAGAUAAAUGUUUAUACUUCAAACUAAAUAUUGUAAAACAACUCUAAUGAUAAAUUUUACGAGUUUGACGGAGAAAUCAAAAGCGUAACACCAGCUUGUUUUACAAAGAAAAUAUAUGGCUCAAAGACAAAGUAAAUCGAACAUGCUCUUUUACCUUUUUGAAUACGAACUGUUUUUGGUAAAGUGACCAAAAUUUUCGCUUGAGUAUGGAAAAUGAUUUUAUCGCGACGUUUAGAUGCUAAGAGAAGUCCAUUCGUUGUAAUGCGAGAUCAGUUGGGAAGAAAUUGUCGUUGACAACAAAUUCCAUUGCUUGAAGCAAAGUAAUUUCCUCAAAGUGCCUUAACAUUUUACAAUGCAUUGACAGCAUACUCCAUUAAACUCAGAAAGGAUAUUUUUAAACAUCGAAACAUUACGAUUAAAUCAUUGGUUCCAUACUCAAUUGAACAUAUAUAAGAACAUUUGUCAUUUCUUUCAAGUGCCAAAUUAUGAAAUAUUUAAAUUAAGAAUUAGACAUUAUCCCGUUCAUUUGGAGCCAUAUAUCUUAUAUAUCGAGCGUCGUUUUUAACCUGACAACUUUGAAUUGAUUAUAUAAUGUCAAUACUAAUUGAAAUGAUGAAAAUGCGAAUGAUGAAAGUUGAACAAAAUUUUAAAAGAAUGUUAUUUAGGGGCGGACCAUUAGAAAUCCUGGG
This is a non-coding RNA of Paramuricea clavata, 702 nucleotides long. NCBI's taxonomy places the organism in Eukaryota, Metazoa, Cnidaria, Anthozoa, Malacalcyonacea, Plexauridae. The record is from the annotation of a GenBank genome assembly.